UGGGGAAUAUUGGACAAUGGGCGAAAGCCUGAUCCAGCCAUGCCGCGUGUGUGAAGAAGGCCUUUUGGUUGUAAAGCACUUUAAGCGAGGAGGAGGCUACUUAGAUUAAUACUCUAGGAUAGUGGACGUUAUUCGCAGAAUAAGCACCGGCUAACUCUGUGCCAGCAGCCGCGGUAAUACAGAGGGUGCGAGCGUUAAUCGGAUUUACUGGGCGUAAAGCGUGCGUAGGCGGCUUUUUAAGUCGGAUGUGAAAUCCCUGAGCUUAACUUAGGAAUUGCAUUCGAUACUGGGAAGCUAGAGUAUGGGAGAGGAUGGUAGAAUUCCAGGUGUAGCGGUGAAAUGCGUAGAGAUCUGGAGGAAUACCGAUGGCGAAGGCAGCCAUCUGGCCUAAUACUGACGCUGAGGUACGAAAGCAUGGGGAGCAAACAGG
This 430-nucleotide ribosomal RNA is filed under the name bacterium. RNAcentral's name for it is "partial 16S ribosomal RNA". It matches the Rfam family "Bacterial small subunit ribosomal RNA", at positions 355 to 776 of the family's 1533-position model. The record is from RNAcentral.